GACAGAGGCCUCGAGCGUUAGGCGGAAUCACUGGGCUUAAAGCGUGUGUAGGCGGGCCCGUAAGUGUCUUGUGAAAUCCCACGGCUCAACCGUGGAACUGCCGGGCAUACUGGCGAUCUCGAGGCAUUCAGGGGCGAGCGGGAACAAAUGGUGGAGCGGUGAAAUGCGUAGAUAUCAUUUGGAACGCCAAUGGUGAAAACAGCUCGCUGGGAAUGAUCUGACACUGAGACGCGAAAGCCAGGGGAGCGAACGGG
Molecule: ribosomal RNA, 254 nt
Filed under: uncultured bacterium
Lineage: Bacteria
Description: partial 16S ribosomal RNA
Rfam family: Bacterial small subunit ribosomal RNA
Source: RNAcentral